UGCAGCUAACUAUUUUCAUUUAUCCACUAAGCAUCAUCUUAUAGAUUUAUAAUUGGUAAGUGUAGUUUGUAGUAGUCAUGGCGUCUACUGAAAAGCCGGUCGACGUGGAAGCUGGCAAGGUGGAGGAAGCUCCGCCGCCGCUGGAACCAGAGGCAGCUGAGGCGCCACCACCAGAGGCAGAGGGGGAGGCUCCUCCCAAAGCGGAGCGCGAGGCUCCACCUCCACCGCCACCGAUAAAUACCUGCAUACUGGUGGAUGGGAUUCUCAGGCUGCUGGUGUUCGCAGCGGCAUUGGCAGCAGUGGUUGUGAUAGCCACCAGUGACCAGACUGAGGCGGUGCCGGUGCCGGGGCAGGGGUCGCAGCGUGUUGAGGCCAAGUUCACUCAGUCUCCAGCUCUCAUAUAUGUAAAGACCAAGUUGCGAAUCAAAGAGGGUGUAGCACCCAUAAAUUCCAAGCUCGAUACUCAAUGGGACUCUAUUUCGUGGUGGCAUGGUCAGUGACUGGACUUCACUUCUUAAUCACGGGAUUUGAAUCAAUUUUAUCCCUCUUUAGACCAGUCCUCCCCAAGAUCUGCCGUCUUUUUCUCCUCAUCGUUGAUGUGGUAUUGCUGGGUAUAGUAGCCUCCGCAACAGGCACGGCCGGGGCAGUCGGGUAUAUCGGGCUUAAGGGCAACAGCCACGUCCGCUGGAACAAGAUCUGUGGGGUUUAUGAUACGUUCUGCGAUCAUCUGGCGGCUUCCCUCGCUCUGUCGCUGUUCGGUUCCGUCAUCCUUGUCAUCCUCAUCAUUCUCUCCGUACUCUCUCUCUAUAAGAAGAUCCCCAAUUAGUGAUAGAGGGUGGCCCCCUUGCACAUGAUUUGGUUUGUAUAUGUCGUGUGAUGAUCAUCGCGUCAUGUUGAUUCUUCAAUUAAUGUUGGUGUUAUUAUUAGGGUUUAUUUUAUAUAUUGUAGAUCAUAGAGGAAUUAAUUUGAUUGUAUGGGGUAAGAAAGAAAAAGAAAAGAGUGUGUGAGUGGCUUUGUUCGUCAGCACACAAGUGUUACAUUAUUGUGUCUAUUGCCUGAUUAUUUAAGUAAUACUAGUAAAAUUACACGUGCAUUGCA
Molecule: non-coding RNA, 1098 nt
Organism: Punica granatum (pomegranate)
Lineage: Eukaryota; Viridiplantae; Streptophyta; Magnoliopsida; Myrtales; Lythraceae
Source: RefSeq, a predicted model, not a curated record